AAGUCGAACGAACUCUGGUAUUGAUUGGUGCUUGCAUCAUGAUUUACAUUUGAGUGAGUGGCGAACUGGUGAGUAACACGUGGGAAACCUGCCCAGAAGCGGGGGAUAACACCUGGAAACAGAUGCUAAUACCGCAUAACAACUUGGACCGCAUGGUCCGAGCUUGAAAGAUGGCUUCGGCUAUCACUUUUGGAUGGUCCCGCGGCGUAUUAGCUAGAUGGUGGGGUAACGGCUCACCAUGGCAAUGAUACGUAGCCGACCUGAGAGGGUAAUCGGCCACAUUGGGACUGAGACACGGCCCAAACUCCUACGGGAGGCAGCAGUAGGGAAUCUUCCACAAUGGACGAAAGUCUGAUGGAGCAACGCCGCGUGAGUGAAGAAGGGUUUCGGCUCGUAAAACUCUGUUGUUAAAGAAGAACAUAUCUGAGAGUAACUGUUCAGGUAUUGACGGUAUUUAACCAGAAAGCCACGGCUAACUACGUGCCAGCAGCCGCGGUAAUACGUAGGUGGCAAGCGUUGUCCGGAUUUAUUGGGCGUAAAGCGAGCGCAGGCGGUUUUUUAAGUCUGAUGUGAAAGCCUUCGGCUCAACCGAAGAAGUGCAUCGGAAACUGGGAAACUUGAGUGCAGAAGAGGACAGUGGAACUCCAUGUGUAGCGGUGAAAUGCGUAGAUAUAUGGAAGAACACCAGUGGCGAAGGCGGCUGUCUGGUCUGUAACUGACGCUGAGGCUCGAAAGUAUGGGUAGCAAACAGGAUUAGAUACCCUGGUAGUCCAUACCGUAAACGAUGAAUGCUAAGUGUUGGAGGGUUUCCGCCCUUCAGUGCUGCAGCUAACGCAUUAAGCAUUCCGCCUGGGGAGUACGGCCGCAAGGCUGAAACUCAAAGGAAUUGACGGGGGCCCGCACAAGCGGUGGAGCAUGUGGUUUAAUUCGAAGCUACGCGAAGAACCUUACCAGGUCUUGACAUACUAUGCAAAUCUAAGAGAUUAGACGUUCCCUUCGGGGACAUGGAUACAGGUGGUGCAUGGUUGUCGUCAGCUCGUGUCGUGAGAUGUUGGGUUAAGUCCCGCAACGAGCGCAACCCUUAUUAUCAGUUGCCAGCAUUAAGUUGGGCACUCUGGUGAGACUGCCGGUGACAAACCGGAGGAAGGUGGGGAUGACGUCAAAUCAUCAUGCCCCUUAUGACCUGGGCUACACACGUGCUACAAUGGAUGGUACAACGAGUUGCGAACUCGCGAGAGUAAGCUAAUCUCUUAAAGCCAUUCUCAGUUCGGAUUGUAGGCUGCAACUCGCCUACAUGAAGUCGGAAUCGCUAGUAAUCGCGGAUCAGCAUGCCGCGGUGAAUACGUUCCCGGGCCUUGUACACACCGCCCGUCACACCAUGAGAGUUUGUAACACCCAAAGUCGGUGGG
This 1409-nucleotide ribosomal RNA is filed under the name Lactiplantibacillus plantarum. RNAcentral describes it as "bacterial SSU rRNA". It matches the Rfam family "Bacterial small subunit ribosomal RNA", at positions 59 to 1434 of the family's 1533-position model. Lineage: Bacteria; Bacillati; Bacillota; Bacilli; Lactobacillales; Lactobacillaceae. The record is from RNAcentral.